RNAcentral lists this ribosomal RNA (274 nucleotides) under uncultured bacterium. Its description in RNAcentral is "partial 16S ribosomal RNA". It matches the Rfam family "Bacterial small subunit ribosomal RNA", at positions 523 to 796 of the family's 1533-position model. The record is from RNAcentral.
AUACGGAGGGGGCUAGCGUUGUUCGGAAUUACUGGGCGUAAAGCGCGUGUAGGCGGAUCGUUAAGUCAGGGGUGAAAGCCCGGGGCUCAACCCCGGAACUGCCCUUGAUACUGGCGAUCUAGAGUCCGGAAGAGGUGGGCGGAAUUCCCGGUGUAGAGGUGAAAUUCGUAGAUAUCGGGAGGAACACCAGUGGCGAAGGCGGCUCACUGGUCCGGCUCUGACGCUGAGACGCGAAAGCGUGGGGAGCAAACAGGAUUAGAAACCCCAGUAGUCC